This 97-nucleotide small nuclear RNA is filed under the name Moschus moschiferus (Siberian musk deer). RNAcentral describes it as "U2 spliceosomal RNA (ENSMMSG00000005122.1)". It matches the Rfam family "U2 spliceosomal RNA". From Rfam's summary of the family: U2 is a small nuclear RNA (snRNA) component of the spliceosome (involved in pre-mRNA splicing). Lineage: Eukaryota; Metazoa; Chordata; Mammalia; Artiodactyla; Moschidae. The record is from Rfam by way of RNAcentral.
AUCACUUCUCGGCCUUUUGGCUAAGAUCAAGUGUAGUAACAACCGUCUGAGUAUUUCUUUGUUCCUUUGUUAAAUGAAAUUAAUGAGAAUAAGAUAU